UACGUAGGGCGCAAGCGUUGUCCGGAAUCAUUGGGCGUAAAGAGCUCGUAGGCGGCCUGUUGCGUCCGCUGUGAAAUCCCGGGGCUUAACCCCGGGCGUGCAGUGGAUACGGGCUGGCUGGAGGCAGGCAGGGGAGAACGGAAUUCCCGGUGUAGCGGUGAAAUGCGCAGAUAUCGGGAGGAACACCGGUGGCGAAGGCGGUUCUCUGGGCCGUGUACUGACGCUGAGGAGCGAAAGCGUGGGGAGCGAACAGG
This 254-nucleotide ribosomal RNA is filed under the name uncultured bacterium. RNAcentral's name for it is "partial 16S ribosomal RNA". It matches the Rfam family "Bacterial small subunit ribosomal RNA", at positions 524 to 776 of the family's 1533-position model. The record is from RNAcentral.